AGCAGCCGCGGUAAUUCCAGCUCCAAUAGCGUAUAUUAAAGUUGUUGCAGUUAAAAAGCUCGUAGUUGAAUUUUGGAUUCUGCCAAUUGGUCCAUCUUUUAGAUGAGUACUGGUUGUGUGGGGUCUAUCCGCCUGGUGAUACGUAAUGUCCUUUAUUGGAUGUUGCGGGUAGUCAGGACCUUUACCUUGAAAAAAUUAGAGUGUUUAAAGCAGGCUUAUGCCGGAAUACAUUAGCAUGGAAUAAUAGAAUAGGACGAAGUUGUUUUAUUUUGUUGGUUUCUAGGACAACCGUAAUGAUUAAUAGGGAUAGUUGGGGGCAUUAGUAUUCAAUUGUCAGAGGUGAAAUUCUUGGAUUUAUUGAAGACUAACUACUGCGAAAGCAUUUGCCAAGGAUGUUUUCAUUAAUCAAGAACGAAAGUUAGGGGAUCGAAGACGAUCAGAUACCGUCGUAGUCUUAACCAUAAACUAUGCCGACUAGGGAUCGGAUGAUGUUAAUUUUUUAAUGACUCAUUCGGCGCCU
RNAcentral lists this unclassified non-coding RNA (520 nucleotides) under uncultured Glomus. RNAcentral describes it as "SSU rRNA". It matches the Rfam family "Eukaryotic small subunit ribosomal RNA", at positions 569 to 1088 of the family's 1831-position model. Lineage: Eukaryota; Fungi; Glomeromycota; Glomeromycetes; Glomerales; Glomeraceae. The record is from RNAcentral.